RNAcentral lists this ribosomal RNA (253 nucleotides) under uncultured bacterium. Its description in RNAcentral is "partial 16S ribosomal RNA". It matches the Rfam family "Bacterial small subunit ribosomal RNA", at positions 524 to 776 of the family's 1533-position model. The record is from RNAcentral.
UACAGGGGGGGCAAGCGUUGUUCGGAAUUACUGGGCGUAAGGGGUCUGUAGGUGGCUUGCUAAGUCAGACGUGAAAUCCCUCAGCUUAACUGGGGAACUGCGUCUGAUACUGGCAAGCUUGAGUGCAGGAGAGGAACGCGGAAUUCCAGGUGUAGCGGUGAAAUGCGUAGAUAUCUGGAGGAACACCGGUGGCGAAGGCGGCGUUCUGGACUGCAACUGACACUGAGAGACGAAAGCCAGGGGAGCAAACGGG